Molecule: small nuclear RNA, 101 nt
Filed under: Castor canadensis (American beaver)
Lineage: Eukaryota; Metazoa; Chordata; Mammalia; Rodentia; Castoridae
Source: RNAcentral
GUGCUGACAGCACAUAUACUAAAACUUAAAUGAUAUAGAGAAGAUUAGCAAAGCCUCCAUACAAGGAUGAAGGACAGGUUUGUGAAGCAUUCCAUAUUUUU